Molecule: small nucleolar RNA, 80 nt
Organism: Ornithorhynchus anatinus (platypus)
Lineage: Eukaryota; Metazoa; Chordata; Mammalia; Monotremata; Ornithorhynchidae
Product: small nucleolar RNA SNORD66
Exons: 1
Source: RefSeq, a predicted model, not a curated record
CUCCGGUGAUGACCUCUCGUUUGUGCCACUGUGUCUGGGCCACUGAUGAUACCCCUUGAUGGAGCUGAGGAUCUGAGGGG